Molecule: ribosomal RNA, 368 nt
Filed under: uncultured Actinomycetes bacterium
Lineage: Bacteria; Bacillati; Actinomycetota; Actinomycetes
Description: bacterial SSU rRNA
Rfam family: Bacterial small subunit ribosomal RNA
Source: RNAcentral
AGACUCCUACGGGAGGCAGCAGUGGGGAAUACUGCGCAAUGGGCGGAAGCCUGACGCAGCAACGCUGCGUGGGGGAUGAAGGCCUUCCGGGUUGUAAACCUCUUUCAGCAGGGGCGAAGCGAGAGUGACGGUACCUGCAGAAGAAGCGCCGGCUAACUACGUGCCAGCAGCCGCGGUAAUACGUAGGGCGCGAGCGUUGUCCGGAAUUAUUGGGCGUAAAGAGCUCGUAGGUGGCUUGCUGCGUCUGCUGUGAAAUCCUGGGGCUUAACUCCAGGCUUUCAGUGGAUACGGGCGGGCUAGAGGUAGGUAGGGGAGAAUGGAAUUCCCGGUGUAGCGGUGAAAUGCGCAGAUAUCGGGAGGAACACCGG